RNAcentral lists this ribosomal RNA (433 nucleotides) under uncultured bacterium. RNAcentral describes it as "bacterial SSU rRNA". It matches the Rfam family "Bacterial small subunit ribosomal RNA", at positions 30 to 460 of the family's 1533-position model. The record is from RNAcentral.
AUUGAACGCUGGCGGAAUGCUUUACACAUGCAAGUCGAACGGCAGCACGGACUUCGGUCUGGUGGCGAGUGGCGAACGGGUGAGUAAUAUAUCGGAACGUGCCCAGUCGUGGGGGAUAACGUAGCGAAAGUUACGCUAAUACCGCAUACGAUCUAAGGAUGAAAGCGGGGGAUCGCAAGACCUCGCGCGAUUGGAGCGGCCGAUAUCAGAUUAGGUAGUUGGUGGGGGUAAAGGGCUCACCAAGCCAACGAUCUGUAGCUGGUCUGAGAGGACGACCAGCCACACUGGAACUGAGACACGGUCCAGACUCCUACGGGAGGCAGCAGUGGGGAAUUUUUGGGACAAUGGACGCAAGUCUGAUCCAGCCAUUCCGCGUGCAGGAUGAAGGCCCUCGGGUUGUAAACUGCUUUAUACAGGAAGAACACUCGACGUG